Molecule: long non-coding RNA, 347 nt
Filed under: Mytilus galloprovincialis (Mediterranean mussel)
Lineage: Eukaryota; Metazoa; Mollusca; Bivalvia; Mytilida; Mytilidae
Source: RNAcentral
AUAAUUUACAAAGUUACCGAUUAAUUCAACUCUAUAAUUAUUCAGUACACAUAGGUUCGCUCUAAAUGAGUAUGAAAUACUUGCAACUGAACAAUAAGUAAUUUCAGUCAAAAGAUAAUUAACAAUUACAGAUUAAAUUUGGAAUUAUGAUAUUCAUUUAAAACUUACAUUCAAUUAGCUAAAGCUAAUAAAUAAAAACUUUGUCACGUGUGUCCCCAUCAUAGAAUUGCCGUAAAGUUAACGUUAUCAUCGAUUUUAUUUAGGAGUUACAUGUAUUAACGCUAAAAGACGUGAGACGUUCUGGCUUAAAUAUUGGACACGUUUUGGCGAACAACAUUUAUCGGACA